AGAGUGGUAAGCCAAGAGCCAGAUUGUGAGAGUCGUAAGCCAAGAUAAGCUUGGUGCUACCUCUUUAUUUUCUUUGCUUUUAUUAUUUACUUAUGAAGAAUUGUGAUUGAGAGAAGUAUUGUUGAAUUGAUAGUCAUAGAAUGGAUUAUGUGUUGAAUUAAGAUGGAAGUAGUAAGCCUUGGUGUUUUGUAGUUUGAUAAUUGAUUUCUGAUAGCUAGAGUAUAG
Molecule: long non-coding RNA, 225 nt
Filed under: Physcomitrium patens
Lineage: Eukaryota; Viridiplantae; Streptophyta; Bryopsida; Funariales; Funariaceae
Description: long non-coding RNA (PPAT_LNC007698)
Source: RNAcentral